This 413-nucleotide ribosomal RNA is filed under the name Staphylococcus aureus. RNAcentral describes it as "bacterial SSU rRNA". It matches the Rfam family "Bacterial small subunit ribosomal RNA", at positions 21 to 423 of the family's 1533-position model. Lineage: Bacteria; Bacillati; Bacillota; Bacilli; Caryophanales; Staphylococcaceae. The record is from RNAcentral.
GGCUCAGGAUGAACGCUGGCGGCGUGCCUAAUACAUGCAAGUCGAGCGAACGGACGAGAAGCUUGCUUCUCUGAUGUUAGCGGCGGACGGGUGAGUAACACGUGGAUAACCUACCUAUAAGACUGGGAUAACUUCGGGAAACCGGAGCUAAUACCGGAUAAUAUUUUGAACCGCAUGGUUCAAAAGUGAAAGACGGUCUUGCUGUCACUUAUAGAUGGAUCCGCGCUGCAUUAGCUAGUUGGUAAGGUAACGGCUUACCAAGGCAACGAUGCAUAGCCGACCUGAGAGGGUGAUCGGCCACACUGGAACUGAGACACGGUCCAGACUCCUACGGGAGGCAGCAGUAGGGAAUCUUCCGCAAUGGGCGAAAGCCUGACGGAGCAACGCCGCGUGAGUGAUGAAGGUCUUCGGAU